This 484-nucleotide ribosomal RNA is filed under the name uncultured bacterium. RNAcentral describes it as "partial 16S ribosomal RNA". It matches the Rfam family "Bacterial small subunit ribosomal RNA", at positions 30 to 507 of the family's 1533-position model. The record is from RNAcentral.
AUUGAACGCUGGCGGCAGGCCUAACACAUGCAAGUCGAGCGGAUGAAGGGAGCUUGCUCCUGGAUUCAGCGGCGGACGGGUGAGUAAUGCCUAGGAAUCUGCCUGGUAGUGGGGGAUAACGUCCGGAAACGGGCGCUAAUACCGCAUACGUCCUGAGGGAGAAAGUGGGGGAUCUUCGGACCUCACGCUAUCAGAUGAGCCUAGGUCGGAUUAGCUAGUUGGUGGGGUAAAGGCCUACCAAGGCGACGAUCCGUAACUGGUCUGAGAGGAUGAUCAGUCACACUGGAACUGAGACACGGUCCAGACUCCUACGGGAGGCAGCAGUGGGGAAUAUUGGACAAUGGGCGAAAGCCUGAUCCAGCCACGCCGCGUGUGUGAAGAAGGUCUUCGGAUCGUAAAGCACUUUAAGUUGGGAGGAAGGGCAGUAAGUUAAUACCUUGCUGUUUUGACGUUACCAACAGAAUAAGCACCGGCUAACUUCGUG